This 85-nucleotide transfer RNA is filed under the name bacterium. Its description in RNAcentral is "tRNA-Ser". It matches the Rfam family "tRNA". Rfam says of the family: Transfer RNA (tRNA) molecules are approximately 80 nucleotides in length. Their secondary structure includes four short double-helical elements and three loops (D, anti-codon, and T loops). Further hydrogen bonds mediate the characteristic L-shaped molecular structure. tRNAs have two regions of fundamental functional importance: the anti-codon, which is responsible for specific mRNA codon recognition, and the 3' end, to which the tRNAs corresponding amino acid is attached (by aminoacyl-tRNA synthetases). tRNAs cope with the degeneracy of the genetic code in two manners: having more than one tRNA (with a specific anti-codon) for a particular amino acid; and 'wobble' base-pairing, i.e. permitting non-standard base-pairing at the 3rd anti-codon position. The record is from RNAcentral.
GGAGAGGUCGCAUAGUGGUCUAGUGCGCUCGCUUGGAAAGCGAGUGUGGGGAAACCCACCGCGAGUUCGAAUCUCGCCCUCUCCG